AAAAAAUCGUUGAAUAAGAGGAGUACGUUUCAUUUAAAUCGUUACAGAGAGCUGGUGCAGGUGUGAAUCCAGUACGAGGGGUGAAACGGAAUGGACUUAUGAGAGGUUUCUUGAAAAUGAAGUAGGGAAACACGGCUUCCACCGUUAACAGGAUAGGGUAUCGGAUCGUGAGUAUCCCGUACCUGAUCACGAGGAAGGGAUUAGAAUUUCCCUUCGAAAAGAGGUGGCACCACGAUGAGAAUCGUCCUCUAU
This 252-nucleotide non-coding RNA is filed under the name Bacillus sp. (in: firmicutes). RNAcentral's name for it is "Bacillus sp. T-box sequence". It matches the Rfam family "T-box leader". From Rfam's summary of the family: Uncharged tRNA acts as the effector for transcription antitermination of genes in the T-box leader family. T-boxes are found upstream of many aminoacyl-tRNA synthetase genes and some amino acid biosynthetic genes usually in Gram-positive bacteria. The record is from RNAcentral. Lineage: Bacteria; Bacillati; Bacillota; Bacilli; Caryophanales; Bacillaceae.